Molecule: ribosomal RNA, 40 nt
Filed under: Sempervivum pumilum
Lineage: Eukaryota; Viridiplantae; Streptophyta; Magnoliopsida; Saxifragales; Crassulaceae
Description: partial 26S ribosomal RNA
Source: RNAcentral
GGGACCCCAGGUCAGGCGGGACCACCCGCUGAGUUUAAGC